CACUCCAAUAUGGGUCUUUUUACCAGAAAUUGAUGCAUCUGAUACAGCUUGAGUUGCAAAUUUAGGUGAUUUACAGCUUAUGUGAAUUUUUCCAUCAUCUGUAACUCUCCAAUCUAGGCGAUUUGUAGAUCUCAUCAUAUGUAGCGAUUUGUAGCUCUCCAAUUUAGAUGUGCCAAUGUGUUGAACUAUGAAACUGUAGCGAUGGGUCGAUGGAUACAUGCAAUUUCCAAUAUAAUGCAGCAAUUUUACAAUUCAUCGACUCUCCAAGAUUAGGGAGGAUAAAGAUCCGAGAGAUUCUCCAUGUUUAGGAUGGAUAAAGAUCUUAGGAGUGAGAUUUGCAGCCAUGGAUCGCAAAAACCGAUCGUCUCUAAAUUUCCUCAGCUAAGAUGAUGAAACUAGAGCUUGGGGUCGUUAAG
Molecule: unclassified non-coding RNA, 416 nt
Filed under: Hevea brasiliensis (rubber tree)
Lineage: Eukaryota; Viridiplantae; Streptophyta; Magnoliopsida; Malpighiales; Euphorbiaceae
Source: RNAcentral